UACGUAGGCAGCGAGCGUUGUUCGGAAUUACUGGGCGUAAAGAGUGUGUAGGCGGGGCUUUAAGUCAGGGGUGAAAUCCUGGAGCUCAACUCCAGAACUGCCUUUGAUACUGAGGAUCUUGAGUUCGGGAGAGGUGAGUGGAACUGCGAGUGUAGAGGUGAAAUUCGUAGAUAUUCGCAAGAACACCAGUGGCGAAGGCGGCUCACUGGCCCGAUACUGACGCUGAGGCACGAAAGCGUGGGGAGCAAACAGG
RNAcentral lists this ribosomal RNA (253 nucleotides) under uncultured bacterium. RNAcentral describes it as "partial 16S ribosomal RNA". It matches the Rfam family "Bacterial small subunit ribosomal RNA", at positions 524 to 776 of the family's 1533-position model. The record is from RNAcentral.